Molecule: long non-coding RNA, 845 nt
Filed under: Olea europaea (common olive)
Lineage: Eukaryota; Viridiplantae; Streptophyta; Magnoliopsida; Lamiales; Oleaceae
Description: long non-coding RNA (OEUR_LNC012606)
Source: RNAcentral
GUAAGUUGGCAACACAAGGAAACAAAUUCGUCAAUGACAUCUACAAGAGUAAGAUUAAAGUAGAAUUUGAUAUGAUGUGAACUACAUGACCCUCAAAUUUAUUACUAUUAAACUUUAUUCAAAUAAAAUUCUAAAAUUAAUUAUGUUAAAAAUAUACAUAUAUAAUUAAAAAAAUAAAAUAAAACUAAAAUUCUAGAAAAAAAAUUGAAUUGAAAAAAAAAAAAUCUUAAAAAAAAUCUAGAUUCUAAAAGAAUAAAAAUUAAAAAAAAAUCUCAAAAAUUAUAGAAAAAUAAAAAUAAAAUAGUUCAAGCUCUUAUUAGGUAUUUAAAUAGAAAUUCUAAAAAACUUUAUUUAAAUGUACAUAGAUAAAAAUUCUCAGUGUGCAUCAUUAAUUUUUAUUUUCUAUGUUUUGCCAACUUAAUUUAUUAUUUUACUUUUGCUGUGAAAAAAAAUAUUAUAAGAUCGCCAACUUUUAAAUGUAUAUAUUACUUAUUAACAAAUUAACAUAUAAUUGUUCUAUUUUACUGAGCAAUCAACAUUCAUGAAAUAAAAUGUCAUGAAAAAUUUUCUGAAAAUUCCAAACAAAAUGUGUUCUCCAGUUUUCUGUUUUGAGAAAUAGUUUUUUCAAAAUGAUAAACCAUAUGCUUUUCAGCAAUCUUAAAAUGGACCCUCAAAAUAGAAAACUGAAAAUAAACUCUAAAUUGAAAUGAAAACCAAACGGCCCCUAAGCUUCCAAAAAAUCCGCAAACCAAGCAAAACUGCCAAAAAAAUAUUGCUGGGAAAAGCAUACCACAUAAGAAAUAAUGGAAGUGGAUGAUAGAGGAAGUGUCCUUUAUGAUACAGNN